GGACCCGCACAAGCGGUGGAGCAUGUGGUUUAAUUCGAUGCAACGCGAAAAACCUUACCUACUCUUGACAUCCUUGGAACCUUUUGUAAUGAAAGGGUGCCUUUUGGAACCAAGUGACAGGUGCUGCAUGGCUGUCGUCAGCUCGUGUCGUGAGAUGUUGGGUUAAGUCCCAUAACGAGCGCAACCCUUACCCUUAUUUGCCAGCGGUUCGGCCGGGAACUAUAAGGGGACUGCCGGUGACAAACCGGAGGAAGGUGAGGACGACGUCAAGUCAUCAUGGCCCUUACGAGUAGGGCUACACACGUGCUACAAUGGAGAAUACAGACGGACGCUAAAGCGCGAGCUGGUGCUAAUCCUAGAAAAUUCUUCGUAGUCCGGAUUGCAGUCUGCAACUCGACUGCAUGAAGUCGGAAUCGCUAGUAAUCG
Molecule: ribosomal RNA, 426 nt
Filed under: uncultured bacterium
Lineage: Bacteria
Description: bacterial SSU rRNA
Rfam family: Bacterial small subunit ribosomal RNA
Source: RNAcentral